RNAcentral lists this ribosomal RNA (117 nucleotides) under Periophthalmus magnuspinnatus. The record is from RNAcentral. Lineage: Eukaryota; Metazoa; Chordata; Actinopteri; Gobiiformes; Gobiidae.
GCAGAUGGCCCACCACCUGUAGAACACCUGAUCUCAUCUGAGCUCUGAAGUUAAGCAGGGUUGGGUCCGGUUGGUACUUGGACGGGAGAGCACUGGAAACACCAGAUGUUGUAUAGG